UAAAAUAGUUUAAAAAAAAUAUUGAUUUGUGGAGUCAAAGAUUUGUUAUUAUUUUAA
This 57-nucleotide transfer RNA is filed under the name Cacopsylla jukyungi. RNAcentral describes it as "tRNA-His". The record is from RNAcentral. Lineage: Eukaryota; Metazoa; Arthropoda; Insecta; Hemiptera; Psyllidae.